Molecule: ribosomal RNA, 162 nt
Filed under: Eucalyptus beardiana
Lineage: Eukaryota; Viridiplantae; Streptophyta; Magnoliopsida; Myrtales; Myrtaceae
Description: 5.8S ribosomal RNA
Rfam family: 5.8S ribosomal RNA
About the family: 5.8S ribosomal RNA (5.8S rRNA) is a component of the large subunit of the eukaryotic ribosome.
Source: RNAcentral
AUAACGACUCUCGGCAACCGAUAUCUCGGUUCUCGCAUCGAUGAAGAACGUAGCGAACUGCGAUACUUGGUGUGAAUUGCAGAAUCCCGUGAACCAUCGAGUCUUUGAACGCAAGUUGCGCCCGAAACCUCUGGUCGAGGGCACGUUUGCCUGGGUGUCACA